UUCCCUUCGGGGACCUAGUGACAGGUGCUGCAUGGCUGUCGUCAGCUCGUGUCGUGAGAUGUUGGGUUAAGUCCCGCAACGAGCGCAACCCUUGUCAUUAGUUGCUACAUUCAGUUGGGCACUCUAAUGAGACUGCCGGUGACAAGCCGGAGGAAGUGGGGAUGACGUCAAGUCCUCAUGGCCCUUAUAGGUGGGGCUACACACGUCAUACAAUGGCUGGUACAAAGGGUUGCCAACCCGCGAGGGGGAGCCAAUCCCAUAAAGCCAGUCGUAGUCCGGAUCGUAGUCUGCAACUCGACUACGUGAAGUCGGAAUCGCUAGUAAUCGUGGAUCAGAAUGUCACGGUGAAUACGUUCCCGGGUCUU
RNAcentral lists this ribosomal RNA (365 nucleotides) under uncultured Rhodoferax sp. RNAcentral's name for it is "bacterial SSU rRNA". It matches the Rfam family "Bacterial small subunit ribosomal RNA", at positions 1014 to 1382 of the family's 1533-position model. The record is from RNAcentral. Lineage: Bacteria; Pseudomonadati; Pseudomonadota; Betaproteobacteria; Burkholderiales; Comamonadaceae.